GUUUCCUGCCCUCGUCUACCAUUCUCGGACAAGCCCACUAUCAUUUAUCUUACUACAUAAGGAUUAGUUCAGAGGUCUGCCAUAUUAAACUAUCACAAGAUUACAAGGGAUAAAGCUACUGCAUAAUUUGAGAAACUUGUAAAUAAUCCAUCAGGGAGAAGCUAUCACUAAGUCAAGGCAGAAAAGAACAAGUGACUGGAGUGUGCUCUGCAAACACUUGAGGAAAGAGGAAACCAAAAGGUCAGAGAGAAGGUGGAAACUCUCAAGAAUAAAAGCAAAAUGAGCUUUCCAGAUGAGAAGAAAAGGUGUCUGAAAACAAAACUGAACACUAAAAUCUAACGUGUGCCAAUUAUAUUGAAACAUAUUACUGUAUACUUUACCAGUUGUCAAAAUGAACAUGGAAUCCUCAAGACCAUUUCAGCAUGUCAGUAAAUUGAGAUCGAUUUUCAUGAGAUUAAGUGCAUGACAGCUGUUUUCACUAUGUUGAUGUUUACACUGAAUCUCCAAAACAAUGAUGAGCACUAAACUUCUGGUAUUUAGAAUGAGCCAAGGCAGUUAUCAAACUGUGUGGCCACUUUUUAUGUCUACCAACACAUCCACUUUCAAUUAAGAAUGCUUUUGAUGCAGGGGAUUUAGCUCAGUGGUGCCACCACCUGCUUCGAAAGUGCAAGGUCCCAAGUUCAAUCCCCAGUACCAAAAAAAAAAAAAAAGAAGAAGAAGAAUGUUCUUGAUGCCAGG
Long non-coding RNA from Heterocephalus glaber (naked mole-rat), 738 nucleotides. Lineage: Eukaryota; Metazoa; Chordata; Mammalia; Rodentia; Bathyergidae. The record is from Ensembl.